AUGGUUAAGUUAGAAAGGGCGCACGGUGAAUGCCUUGGCACUAGGAGCCGAUGAAGGACGGGACUAACACCGAUAUGCUUCGGGGAGCUGUAAGUGAGCUUUGAUCCGGAGAUUUCCGAAUGGGGAAACCCACUGUUCGUAAUGGAACAGUAUCUUUAUCUGAAUACAUAGGAUAUUGAAGGCAGACCCGGGGAACUGAAACAUCUAAGUACCCGGAGGAAGAGAAAGCAAAUGCGAUUUCCUGAGUAGCGGCGAGCGAAACGGAAUUAGCCCAAACCAAGAGGCUUGCCUCUUGGGGUUGUAGGACACUCUAUACGGAGUUACAAAGGAACGAAGUAAAUGAAGCGACCUGGAAAGGUCCGUCGAAGAAGGUAACAACCCUGUAGUUGAAACUUCGUUCCCUCUUGAGUGGAUCCUGAGUACGGCGGAACACGUGAAAUUCCGUCGGAAGCUGGGAGGACCAUCUCCCAAGGCUAAAUACUACCUAGUGACCGAUAGUGAACCAGUACCGUGAGGGAAAGGUGAAAAGCACCCCGGAAGGGGAGUGAAAGAGAUCCUGAAACCGUGUGCCUACAAGUAGUCAGAGCCCGUUAACGGGUGAUGGCGUGCCUUUUGUAGAAUGAACCGGCGAGUUACGAUCCCAUGCAAGGUUAAGCUGAUAAGGCGGAGCCGUAGCGAAAGCGAGUCUGAAUAGGGCGUUUAGUAUGUGGUUGUAGACCCGAAACCAGGUGAUCUACCCAUGUCCAGGGUGAAGUUCAGGUAACACUGAAUGGAGGCCCGAACCCACGCACGUUGAAAAGUGCGGGGAUGAGGUGUGGGUAGCGGAGAAAUUCCAAUCGAACCUGGAGAUAGCUGGUUCUCUCCGAAAUAGCUUUAGGGCUAGCCUCAUGUUGUGAGAGUCUUGGAGGUAGAGCACUGAUUGGACUAGGGGCCCCCAACGGGUUACCGAAUUCAGUCAAACUCCGAAUGCCAAAGACUUAUCCAUGGGAGUCAGACUGCGAGUGAUAAGAUCCGUAGUCAAAAGGGAAACAGCCCAGACCACCAGCUAAGGUCCCCAAGUAUACGUUAAGUGGAAAAGGAUGUGGAGUUGCUUAGACAACCAGGAUGUUGGCUUAGAAGCAGCCACCAUUUAAAGAGUGCGUAAUAGCUCACUGGUCGAGUGACUCUGCGCCGAAAAUGUACCGGGGCUAAACGUAUCACCGAAGCUGUGGAUUGACAUCUUUGAUGUCAGUGGUAGGAGAGCGUUCUAAGUGCUGUGAAGUCAGACCGUAAGGACUGGUGGAGCGCUUAGAAGUGAGAAUGCCGGUAUGAGUAGCGAAAGACAAGUGAGAAUCUUGUCCACCGAAUGCCUAAGGUUUCCUGAGGAAGGCUCGUCCGCUCAGGGUUAGUCGGGACCUAAGCCGAGGCUGAAAAGCGUAGGCGAUGGCCAACAGGUUGAUAUUCCUGUACCACCUCCCCGCCGUUUGAGUAAUGGGGGGACGCAGUAGGAUAGGGUAAGCGCGCUGCUGGAUAUGCGCGUUCAAGCAGUUAGGCUGAUGAGUAGGCAAAUCCGCUCAUCAUAAAGGCUGAGCUGUGAUGACGAGGGAAUUAUAGUACCGAAGUUCCUGAUUCCACACUGCCAAGAAAAGCCUCUAGCGAGGCGGGAGGUGCCCGUACCGCAAACCGACACAGGUAGGCGAGGAGAGAAUCCUAAGGUGAUCGAGAGAACUCUCGUUAAGGAACUCGGCAAAAUGACCCCGUAACUUCGGGAGAAGGGGUGCUCUGGUAGGGUGUAUAGCCCGAGAGAGCCGCAGUGAAUAGGCCCAGGCGACUGUUUAGCAAAAACACAGGUCUCUGCGAAGCCGCAAGGCGAAGUAUAGGGGCUGACGCCUGCCCGGUGCUGGAAGGUUAAGAGGAGGGUUAUCCUUUGGGAGAAGCUCUGAAUCGAAGCCCCAGUAAACGGCGGCCGUAACUAUAACGGUCCUAAGGUAGCGAAAUUCCUUGUCGGGUAAGUUCCGACCCGCACGAAAGGCGUAACGAUCUGGGCACUGUCUCAACGAGAGACUCGGUGAAAUUAUAGUACCUGUGAAGAUGCAGGUUACCCGCGACAGGACGGAAAGACCCCGUGGAGCUUUACUGUAGCCUGAUAUUGAAUUUUGGUACAGCUUGUACAGGAUAGGUAGGAGCCUGAGAAGCCGGAGCGCUAGCUUCGGUGGAGGCGUCGGUGGGAUACUACCCUGGCUGUAUUGAAAUUCUAACCCGCGGCCCUGAUCGGGCCGGGAGACAGUGUCAGGUGGGCAGUUUGACUGGGGCGGUCGCCUCCUAAAAUGUAACGGAGGCGCCCAAAGGUUCCCUCAGAAUGGUUGGAAAUCAUUCGUAGAGUGUAAAGGCACAAGGGAGCUUGACUGCGAGACCUACAAGUCGAGCAGGGACGAAAGUCGGGCUUAGUGAUCCGGUGGUUCCGCAUGGAAGGGCCAUCGCUCAACGGAUAAAAGCUACCCCGGGGAUAACAGGCUUAUCUCCCCAAGAGUCCACAUCGACGGGGAGGUUUGGCACCUCGAUGUCGGCUCAUCGCAUCCUGGGGCUGUAGUCGGUCCCAAGGGUUGGGCUGUUCGCCCAUUAAAGCGGUACGCGAGCUGGGUUCAGAACGUCGUGAGACAGUUCGGUCCCUAUCCGUCGUGGGCGUAGGAAAUUUGAGAGGAGCUGUCCUUAGUACGAGAGGACCGGGAUGGACACACCGCUGGUGUACCAGUUGUCUUGCCAAAGGCAUCGCUGGGUAGCUAUGUGUGGACGGGAUAAGUGCUGAAAGCAUCUAAGCAUGAAGCCCCCCUCAAGAUGAGAUUUCCCAUAGCGCAAGCUAGUAAGAUCCCUGAAAGAUGAUCAGGUUGAUAGGUCAGAGGUGUAAGCGUGGCGACAUGUGUAGCUGACUGAUACUAAUCGAUCGAGGACUUAACCAAAA
This 2938-nucleotide ribosomal RNA is filed under the name Priestia megaterium. RNAcentral describes it as "bacterial LSU rRNA". It matches the Rfam family "Bacterial large subunit ribosomal RNA". The record is from RNAcentral. Lineage: Bacteria; Bacillati; Bacillota; Bacilli; Caryophanales; Bacillaceae.